Molecule: ribosomal RNA, 461 nt
Filed under: Streptococcus mitis
Lineage: Bacteria; Bacillati; Bacillota; Bacilli; Lactobacillales; Streptococcaceae
Description: bacterial SSU rRNA
Rfam family: Bacterial small subunit ribosomal RNA
Source: RNAcentral
GACGAACGCUGGCGGCGUGCCUAAUACAUGCAAGUAGAACGCUGAAGGAGGAGCUUGCUUCUCUGGAUGAGUUGCGAACGGGUGAGUAACGCGUAGGUAACCUGCCUGGUAGCGGGGGAUAACUAUUGGAAACGAUAGCUAAUACCGCAUAACAGUAGAUGUUGCAUGACAUUUGCUUAAAAGGUGCAAUUGCAUCACUACCAGAUGGACCUGCGUUGUAUUAGCUAGUUGGUGAGGUAACGGCUCACCAAGGCGACGAUACAUAGCCGACCUGAGAGGGUGAUCGGCCACACUGGGACUGAGACACGGCCCAGACUCCUACGGGAGGCAGCAGUAGGGAAUCUUCGGCAAUGGACGGAAGUCUGACCGAGCAACGCCGCGUGAGUGAAGAAGGUUUUCGGAUCGUAAAGCUCUGUUGUAAGAGAAGAACGAGUGUGAGAGUGGAAAGUUCACACUGUGAC